GACGAACGCUGGCGGCGUGCUUAACACAUGCAAGUCGAACGGAAAGGCCCUGCUUUUGUGGGGUGCUCGAGUGGCGAACGGGCGAGUAACACGUGAGUAACCUGCCCUUGACUUUGGGAUAACUUCAGGAAACUGGGGCUAAUACCGGAUAGGAGCUCCUGUUGCAUGGUGGGGGUUGGAACGUUUCGGCGGUUGGGGAUGGACUCGCGGCUUAUCAGCUUGUUGGUGGGGGAGUGGCUUACCAAGGCUUUGACGGGUAGCCGGCCUGAGAGGGUGAACGGCCACAUUGGGACUGAGAUACGGCCCAGACGCCUACGGGAGGCAGCAGUGGGGAAUAUUGCACAAUGGGCGGAAGCCUGAUGCAGCAACGCCGCGUGCGGGACGACGGCCUUCGGGUUGUAAACCGCUUUCGCCUGUGACGAAGCGUGAGUGACGGUAAUGGGUAAAGAAGCACCGGCUAACUACGUG
This 468-nucleotide ribosomal RNA is filed under the name uncultured bacterium. Its description in RNAcentral is "partial 16S ribosomal RNA". It matches the Rfam family "Bacterial small subunit ribosomal RNA", at positions 28 to 507 of the family's 1533-position model. The record is from RNAcentral.